RNAcentral lists this ribosomal RNA (482 nucleotides) under uncultured bacterium. RNAcentral's name for it is "bacterial SSU rRNA". It matches the Rfam family "Bacterial small subunit ribosomal RNA", at positions 29 to 506 of the family's 1533-position model. The record is from RNAcentral.
UUGAACGCUGGCGGCAUGCUUUACGCAUGCAAGUCGAACGGCAGCGGGGGCUUCGGCCUGCCGGCGAGUGGCGAACGGGUGAGUAAUAUAUCGGAACGUACCCUGUCGUGGGGGAUAACACAUCGAAAGAUGUGCUAAUACCGCAUACGACCUGAGGGUGAAAGCGGGGGAUCGCAAGACCUCGCGCGAUAGGAGCGGCCGAUAUCGGAUUAGCUAGUUGGUGAGGUAAAGGCUCACCAAGGCGACGAUCCGUAGCUGGUCUGAGAGGACGACCAGCCACACUGGGACUGAGACACGGCCCAGACUCCUACGGGAGGCAGCAGUGGGGAAUUUUGGACAAUGGGCGCAAGCCUGAUCCAGCCAUGCCGCGUGAGUGAAGAAGGCCUUCGGGUUGUAAAGCUCUUUCAGACGGAAAGAAAUCGGGCGCGUGAAUAGCGUGCCUGGAUGACGGUACUGUCAGAAGAAGCACCGGCUAACUACGU